CGUGAGCAACCUGCCUUGGAGUGGGGGAAGAAACAAGCUGGAAACAGUUGCUAAUACCGCAUAAUGCAGCGAGGGGACAUCCUCUUGCUGCCAAAGAUUUAUCGCUCUGAGAUGGACUCGCGUCUGAUUAGCUGGUUGGCGGGGUAACGGCCCACCAAGGCGACGAUCAGUAGCCGGACUGAGAGGUUGACCGGCCACAUUGGGACUGAGAUACGGCCCAG
RNAcentral lists this ribosomal RNA (221 nucleotides) under uncultured bacterium. RNAcentral's name for it is "partial 16S ribosomal RNA". It matches the Rfam family "Bacterial small subunit ribosomal RNA", at positions 116 to 334 of the family's 1533-position model. The record is from RNAcentral.